AUGAACGCUGGCGGCGUGCCUAAUACAUGCAAGUCGAGCGAACAGACGAGGAGCUUGCUCCUCUGACGUUAGCGGCGGACGGGUGAGUAACACGUGGAUAACCUACCUAUAAGACUGGGAUAACUUCGGGAAACCGGAGCUAAUACCGGAUAAUAUAUUGAACCGCAUGGUUCAAUAGUGAAAGACGGUUUUGCUGUUACUUAUAGAUGGAUCCGCGCCGCAUUAGCUAGUUGGUAAGGUAACGGCUUACCAAGGCAACGAUGCGUAGCGGACCUGAGAGGGUGAUCGGCUAGACGGGAACAGAGGCACGUUCGAGACCCUUGCGGGAGGAAGCAGUAGGGAAUCUUCCGGAAUGGGCGAGUGCCUAACAUAGCAACGCCGGGUGAGUGAUGAAGGACUUCGGAUCGUAAAACGCUGUUAUUAGGGAAGAACAAAUGUGUAAGUAACUAUGCACGUCUUGACGGUACCUAAUCAGAAAGCCACGGCUAACUACGUG
This 496-nucleotide ribosomal RNA is filed under the name uncultured bacterium. RNAcentral describes it as "partial 16S ribosomal RNA". It matches the Rfam family "Bacterial small subunit ribosomal RNA", at positions 29 to 507 of the family's 1533-position model. The record is from RNAcentral.